Molecule: non-coding RNA, 426 nt
Organism: Prunus mume (Japanese apricot)
Lineage: Eukaryota; Viridiplantae; Streptophyta; Magnoliopsida; Rosales; Rosaceae
Source: RefSeq, a predicted model, not a curated record
AACAAGCAUCCUCAAAGGACAGGGGAAUAUUUGACUGCCAUUUCUUUAAUACAUUUUUUUACGAGAAGCUCAAAGAGGCUGUCGCAUAUAAGGGGAACGACAAGGAUAAACUUUUUGGUAAGUUUAGAAGGUGGUGGAAGGGUGUUAAUAUAUUCCAGAAGGCAUAUUUACUUAUUCCGAUUCAUGAAGAUGUACAUUGGAGUCUAGUGAUUAUUUGUAUCCCUGACAAGGAAGAAGAAUCUGGACCAAUUGUACUUCAUUUAGAUUCCUUAGGAGUCCAUUCUCCCAGAUCAGUUUUUCAAAAUAUUAAAAGCUAUUUGAAAGAAGAAUGGAACUAUUUGGAUCAAGAAGUCGCCAUUUCAGAUAUUCCUAUUUCAGACAGUAUAUGGAACCAACUUCCCAAUAAAAUUGAAGAGAAAAAACUUG